This 226-nucleotide ribosomal RNA is filed under the name uncultured bacterium. Its description in RNAcentral is "partial 16S ribosomal RNA". It matches the Rfam family "Bacterial small subunit ribosomal RNA", at positions 335 to 550 of the family's 1533-position model. The record is from RNAcentral.
ACUCCUACGGGAGGCAGCAGUGGGGAAUGAUUGCGACAAUGGGCGCAAGCCUGAUGCAGCCAUGCCGCGUGUAUGAAGAAGGCCUUCGGGUUGUAAAAGUACUUUCAGCAGUGAGGAAGGUGGGUAUGUUAAUAGCAUACUCAUUUGACGUUAGCUGCAGAAGAAGCACCGGCUAACUCCGUGCCAGCAGCCGCGGUAAUACGGAGGGUGCGAGCGUUAAUCGGAA